Molecule: non-coding RNA, 116 nt
Filed under: Anaerosporomusa subterranea
Lineage: Bacteria; Bacillati; Bacillota; Negativicutes; Acetonemataceae
Description: Anaerosporomusa subterraneum Glycine sequence
Rfam family: Glycine riboswitch aptamer
About the family: This family represents the bacterial glycine riboswitch. Glycine riboswitches usually consist of two metabolite-binding aptamers domains with similar structures in tandem.
Source: Rfam by way of RNAcentral
GGAUGGAACUCUGGAGAGCCCCUAGAAAGUGACUGUACUUGCUAGGGCGCCGAAGGGGCAAGUCGGCGGCGAAGGCUGCUGAUGAAACUCUCAGGCAAAAGGACAGAGCAAUCGUU